Molecule: long non-coding RNA, 596 nt
Organism: Cajanus cajan (pigeon pea)
Lineage: Eukaryota; Viridiplantae; Streptophyta; Magnoliopsida; Fabales; Fabaceae
Source: RefSeq, a predicted model, not a curated record
UAACAAUGAAUCUGCUACGGAGUUUGAUUAUGAUGAAUAUAAAGAAUUAAAAUCAAAAACUGUUGGGGAAGAAAGGGAAGAAACGGACGCAUGGGAGGGAAUUUACAAAGGUGUCAUAGCAUUUGGAUGUAAAAAAGUACUUUUGAAAUUAAAAUCGUUCAUUGGGACGUAUAUAUAAUAUCCUGGAGAACUUUUAUACAGUAUAUCUGGAAAAACUAAAUGUGCUUCACUCACACUUGUGUACUUGGGAUGAGAUCCAACAAAUAUGGAUAAAAUGGACAGAAGGAAGCUGUAGAGGAAGUCAAGGAUGUGUAAGUUCCAAAUGACAACUUAGGAUGACCUUGCAUGCAAAAAUUUAGGGAGAGAAGACUACCCUCACGAUUCAUGAAGUUAUUAGUUUGACUCUUGGAUCAAAGAAAGGUUGAGCCACAGUCUAAAAGUAGAAUGUAGAAUCAAAUUUAGUUGGCUCCAACCUGGAAAUGCUUCACAGUUAUAAAUUUAAAGGAGUUGGCUCUUAUAUAAGUUCUAUCGCACCCACAGUUUAAAUUUGUCAUCUAACCCUAAUUAACUAAAGUAAUAUUAAGAUUAUUGAUAUU